GGGGGUUCAGGCUCUGGGCUCCAUAAAGUGCCUUGAGACAGUUUCAAGCAAACAUGACAUGCAUAGUGUUAUUGGCACUAUAUGAAUAUAAUAGAAUACAACCUUGUGCUGAAUUGAAUUGAACAGUCUGCAUUUGUUGUCAGACACUUUCUCUGAUAAAGGCCCACUGGAUUUGCAUCAAGCCGUUUCUUAGUCCUUGCUCUGAUGCGCCCAUCUCACUUCUGUUUCAGCGGCUCAGUGCAGUGGAGUCAUGUGACUUCAAAGAAACAAGCAGGAAUCCAUUUAGGGGAAUAUGCCACUGCCACUGUCUGAGAAGGUGUUGCAGAGAACACCUUUGUAUGUGACAGUUGUACUUAAUGAACACAAACUUUUUCUCCAUUGUUCUCUACAAAAAGUUAAUAUCUGCUCAUUUUGGACUAAAACUGGUAGUUGCUGAAAGAGGUGAGUUUUACACAUGUACUGGAUAUUUAGUCUUUAAUUAACCUCUGAAAUGAGAAUUCAAACAGGAUUUUAUUUUUUUAAUUAUUCAUAAGAUCACUAUAAGUCAUCAGGAGGCUUUCCUCUCUCUGACACAACAAUUGGUGAUGAAAUUAGUAUGUCCAUCUUAAAUAAAACACACUGUACAAGAUAAAGUAUACCAAGCAAGAAAAUGAAUCUAACGGUAAGAGAUAUUAUUUCCCUCUAUUUGUAUAUGAAUAUGUGUGUGCUAUGAAUGUAGCAUUUCAAACAACAAAAUAUCAUGCUUAUUAUUUUAAUCAUACAUACAGACAAACUGUGGAACUAGAACAGCUCCACUUACUUUUGCUUUGCAGUAUGGCCAUAUUAGCAGUAGUUCCCAUUUUGGGCAUCAGUGGACCCUGUACUGGGCUGAGAAGUGAAACCACCAAGGGACCCACACUUUGAAUCCCAUAAGGGAACUGAACCCUUUUAGAUCUACAGAUGGGCCUUAUUUUGUCUGCACCAGUUAAUCCAGGUUUGCCCGACUGGGUGUACAGUUAAACACAUUGGAUAAUUAACUUGCCAGUAAAUUCUUAUUUCUGGAAGGGGGUCCUGUGGCCCCAGAAUGAGUAAGUGCAGGUUGGGUCUGUGUGGGAUGUGUUCAUGUUUGGUGUAGUCUACCCUGGCAACAAAAAACAAUAGAGGGUUCUUGGCCACCAUUUUGUGUCAUGCUUCUUUGCAGUUUUCCUGUUCAUUUCCAAGCUUGCAAAAUGGCUGAUGUUAAAUGCAUGU
Long non-coding RNA from Clupea harengus (Atlantic herring), 1230 nucleotides. Lineage: Eukaryota; Metazoa; Chordata; Actinopteri; Clupeiformes; Clupeidae. The record is from Ensembl.